RNAcentral lists this ribosomal RNA (480 nucleotides) under Staphylococcus aureus. RNAcentral's name for it is "bacterial SSU rRNA". It matches the Rfam family "Bacterial small subunit ribosomal RNA", at positions 1056 to 1533 of the family's 1533-position model. The record is from RNAcentral. Lineage: Bacteria; Bacillati; Bacillota; Bacilli; Caryophanales; Staphylococcaceae.
CAGCUCGUGUCGUGAGAUGUUGGGUUAAGUCCCGCAACGAGCGCAACCCUUAAGCUUAGUUGCCAUCAUUAAGUUGGGCACUCUAAGUUGACUGCCGGUGACAAACCGGAGGAAGGUGGGGAUGACGUCAAAUCAUCAUGCCCCUUAUGAUUUGGGCUACACACGUGCUACAAUGGACAAUACAAAGGGCAGCGAAACCGCGAGGUCAAGCAAAUCCCAUAAAGUUGUUCUCAGUUCGGAUUGUAGUCUGCAACUCGACUACAUGAAGCUGGAAUCGCUAGUAAUCGUAGAUCAGCAUGCUACGGUGAAUACGUUCCCGGGUCUUGUACACACCGCCCGUCACACCACGAGAGUUUGUAACACCCGAAGCCGGUGGAGUAACCUUUUAGGAGCUAGCCGUCGAAGGUGGGACAAAUGAUUGGGGUGAAGUCGUAACAAGGUAGCCGUAUCGGAAGGUGCGGCUGGAUCACCUCCUUUCUA